This is a long non-coding RNA of Mobula hypostoma (lesser devil ray), 269 nucleotides long. RefSeq lists it as uncharacterized. The record is from RefSeq and is a predicted model, not a curated record. Lineage: Eukaryota; Metazoa; Chordata; Chondrichthyes; Myliobatiformes; Myliobatidae. The transcript is spliced from 3 exons.
AAUAAUGAAAAACUGCACACAAAGACUGACAAACAACCAAUGUGCUAAAGAAGACAAACAGUGCAAAUGCAAAAAAAACCCCAAACUAUCUAACUAACUAACAGUGAGGACAUGAGCUGCCGAGUUUGCAUAGGUUGUGGAAUCAUUCCAGUGUUCAGGUUCAAUGCAAGCUUAACAAACAACACCUCAUUUUCCUUGUGGGUAUGUUGCAACUUACUGGACUCCAUACCAAAUUCUACAACUUUAACUACAAAUGGCUGAGUGGCUAG